This 327-nucleotide ribosomal RNA is filed under the name Ophelmastoma camerunense. RNAcentral describes it as "partial 12S ribosomal RNA". The record is from RNAcentral. Lineage: Eukaryota; Metazoa; Arthropoda; Insecta; Ephemeroptera; Baetidae.
ACUAAAUCGCCGUGAAUACCACCUGAGUAGUAACAGUUUGCACUUUAAACUCAAAGAAUUUGGCGGCUCUUUACCCCAUUAGAGGAGCCUGCCCUGUAAUCGAUGAUCCACGAAAUCCCCAACCCGUGUUUAAAGCUUGUAUACCGCCGUUUAGAGUGGGCCCGGAGGCCUACUCCAAACUAAUUUAUUAAAUAAUUCAGGUCAAGGUGCAGCCAAUACCCGGGUAGAGGUGGGCUACAUUUAUUAAAUAUACGGAGUCAUGCAUGAAAAGUGUGAGGAAGCUGGAUUUAAAAGUAAAUUAGUUUAAAGAUUUGGCAGGGCACUGAA